This 379-nucleotide ribosomal RNA is filed under the name uncultured eukaryote. RNAcentral describes it as "partial 18S ribosomal RNA". It matches the Rfam family "Eukaryotic small subunit ribosomal RNA", at positions 592 to 976 of the family's 1831-position model. The record is from RNAcentral.
CAAUAGCGUAUAUUUAAGUUGUUGCAGUUAAAAAGCUCGUAGUUGGAUUUCGGAUGGGAUUUGCCGGUCCGUCGUUACGAUGUGCACUGGCCAGUCCUAUCUUGUUGUCGGGGACUAGCUCCUUGGAUUCACUUCCUGGGACUAGGAGCUGACGAGGUUACUUUGAGUAAAUUAGAGUGUUCAAAGCAAGCCUACGCUCUGAAUACAUUAGCAUGGAAUAACACGAUAGGACUCUGGCUUAUCUUGUUGGUCUGUGAGACCAGAGUAAUGAUUAAGAGGGACAGUCGGGGACAUUCGUAUUUCAUUGUCAGAGGUGAAAUUCUUGGAUUUAUGAAAGACGAACUUCUGCGAAAGCAUCUGUCAAGGAUGUUUUCAUUAA